Long non-coding RNA from Grus americana (Whooping crane), 616 nucleotides. RefSeq lists it as uncharacterized. Lineage: Eukaryota; Metazoa; Chordata; Aves; Gruiformes; Gruidae. The record is from RefSeq and is a predicted model, not a curated record. The transcript has 4 exons.
UGUGGAUGAAUACCACUGGGAGUUAAGGACUUGCUGUGACUCUCACUCUGACUUAUAGGAGUUUUGCCUGCAGCAGUCACAUAGUUGAAAAAUAUAGAUCCAUGUGACUGCUAAGAGACCACUGAGAAGCCAAAUUUUAAGAGCUCCUCUCCAAGAUAUCACCACAACGUCAUCAUCGACAUCUGUUAUUUACCUAUGUACAAAGGGGCUGCGUUAAUCAAUACACGUGAUGCAGUGGUGCAGAGUAUGGUCUGAGGAGCUAAGCAGAGUGGAAUCCACAUCCUGAUUUCUCUGACUUGGAAUACCUCAAGCACUCCUGUGCCUUCGGGAUAUGGUUGACAGCCCUGCACAAGUGUGACUGAGAUCCUGAUAAGCAAGUGAAAUGACAUGGAUGCAUAAGUUUACCAAAAACAGAAUUAAGAGAAUUUUGCUGGGGUGACAGAUGGAACAAAACUUUGGUGAAUAUGGAUCGCGAAUGCUUUGGCACCUAUUACAGGUUUGAUGAUCGCUUUUGUGACUCUUCUGUUUCAAUGGGGUCCCUGAUAGCAGUGAUGCUGAGGAAAAGUCCAGUUCAGGUACCUCCUACUCAGAAGGUCCUUCAUCACGGAACUAGGGG